This 253-nucleotide ribosomal RNA is filed under the name uncultured bacterium. RNAcentral's name for it is "partial 16S ribosomal RNA". It matches the Rfam family "Bacterial small subunit ribosomal RNA", at positions 524 to 776 of the family's 1533-position model. The record is from RNAcentral.
UACGUAGGGUGCAAGCGUUGUCCGGAAUUAUUGGGCGUAAAGAGCUCGUAGGCGGUCUGUCGCGUCGGAUGUGAAAACCCAGGGCUCAACCCUGGGCCUGCAUUCGGUACGGGCAGACUAGAGUUCGGUAGGGGAGACUGGAAUUCCUGGUGUAGCGGUGAAAUGCGCAGAUAUCAGGAGGAACACCGGUGGCGAAGGCGGGUCUCUGGGCCGAAACUGACGCUGAGGAGCGAAAGCGUGGGGAGCAAACAGG